Molecule: ribosomal RNA, 651 nt
Filed under: uncultured organism
Description: bacterial SSU rRNA
Rfam family: Bacterial small subunit ribosomal RNA
Source: RNAcentral
GCGAAGACGGCCUCCUGGGCUGCUCCUGACGCUGAAGGCGAAAGCUAGGGGAGCGCACGGGAUUAGAAACCCCGGUAGUCAUAACUCUAAACGAUGGAUGUUAGCUGUGGGGGGUCUAGAUUCCCGCAGUCCCGCAGUUAACGCACUAAGCAUCCCGCCUGGGGAGUACGGCCGCAAGACUCAAACUCAAACGAAUGGAUCGGGGGCCCGCACAAGCAGCGGAGCGAUGCGUCUAAUUCGAUGCUACACGAAGAACCUUACCUGGGCGUGACAGACAGGUAGUAGUGAAGUGAAAGCGGAUCGAUCCUUCGGGGAGCCUGUACAGGUCCUGCAUGGCGGUCGUCAGCUCGUGCUGUGAGAUCUCGGCUUAAGUCCCGUCACGAGCGCAACCCUUGCUCUUAGUUAUACGUGUCUAAGAGGAUUUCCGGCGGUAAGCCGGAGUAAGGUGGGGAUCACGUCAAGUCAGCAUGGCCAUUAUGUCCAGGGCUACACACACGCUACAAUGUCAGCUACAAUGGCUAGUUAAACCGCGAGAGGAGCUAGUCCGCUAACCCGCUCUCAGUUCGAAUUGCAGUCUGCAACUCGCAUGCAUGAAGUCGGAGUUGACUAGUAAUCGCAGGUCAGCAAUCCUGCGCUGNAUACGUUCCCGGG